This 466-nucleotide long non-coding RNA is filed under the name Chinchilla lanigera (long-tailed chinchilla). RNAcentral describes it as "lncRNA (ENSCLAG00000023712.1)". Lineage: Eukaryota; Metazoa; Chordata; Mammalia; Rodentia; Chinchillidae. The record is from RNAcentral.
AUGCUAGCUGGCCGCAGGAAGAAUGCAGGGCACCCACAGCUCACAUCCUGUCCGCCUCCACACUCCCGGCGGGUCUUUUCCUGUUCAGAAGGAGCAGGGCUGGAGCGGCACAGGGCCGGACUCCAGGAACGUCAGACCACCCCAACCUGCGUUCCCAGAACUCCUCUGAGGAAGAGGCUGCCACUGAGCAACAACAAUCCCCUUGCCAUCUGUCCCCAGGACGAAGAGAGCUUGGGAGGUGACAAUAAGCCUGGACUCUCCAGGGUCUGGCGCGGAUGGGUCAGCUCCAGCCCCAAGUCCCCACCUGGGGCUUCUGCAGGCCAGGCCAGUCUGCAGCGGCUCCAAGCUCCUGCCCGGAACACACUGGAAACUCAUCAAUCACCCCCAGCCCUGCCCAAGGAUGGAAGGGCUUGGAGCCUAGUUCAGCUCGGCUACUUGUAAUCCAAGGCUAUAGCCAGGGGUCCCC